RNAcentral lists this non-coding RNA (30 nucleotides) under Mus musculus (house mouse). Lineage: Eukaryota; Metazoa; Chordata; Mammalia; Rodentia; Muridae. The record is from RNAcentral.
UCUCUCAAACAGCCAGUUCAGGUGCACAGC